GUUAACAGAAGUAUUAAGUUUCUUAUAUCAUUUUUAUCUGUUUUUGUUAUAAUACCAAAUAAAACCAAAUCAAUAUUUAAAGUUAGUUCUAUUUCUGUCUUCUCAAAUAUCCAGGAGUUAAGGUCUUCCCAUAGUUUAAAUAUAUAUGGACACGUCCAGAAUAUAUGUUCUAUUGUUUCAACCCCGCCGCACCCAAAACUACAAAUAUUUGUAUCUUUAAUUUUUAUUUUAAGGAGAAGUUUAUUCGUGCCUAAGAUUCGAUGUAUUAUUCUUUAUUGAAACC
Molecule: long non-coding RNA, 283 nt
Filed under: Mytilus galloprovincialis (Mediterranean mussel)
Lineage: Eukaryota; Metazoa; Mollusca; Bivalvia; Mytilida; Mytilidae
Source: RNAcentral